CCUACGGGGAGCAGCAGUGAGGAAUAUUGGUCAAUGGACGAGAGUCUGAACCAGCCAAGUAGCGUGAAGGAUGACUGCCCUAUGGGUUGUAAACUUCUUUUAUAUGGGAAUAAAACGUUCCACGUGUGGGAUUUUGUAUGUACCAUAUGAAUAAGGAUCGGCUAACUCCGUGCCAGCAGCCGCGGUAAUACGGAGGAGCCGAGCGUUAUCCGGAUUUAUUGGGUUUAAAGGGAGCGUAGGUGGAUUGUUAAGUCAGUUGUGAAAGUUUGCGGCUCAAUCGUAAAAUUGCAGUUGAAACUGGCAGUCUUGAGUACAGUAGAGGUGGGCGGAAUUCGUGGUGUAGCGGUGAAAUGCUUAGAUAUCACGAAGAACUCCGAUUGCGAAGGCAGUUCACUGGACUGCAACUGACACUGAGGCUCGAAAGUGUGGGUAUCAAACAGGAUUAGAUACCCCGGUAGUC
Molecule: ribosomal RNA, 460 nt
Filed under: uncultured bacterium
Lineage: Bacteria
Description: partial 16S ribosomal RNA
Rfam family: Bacterial small subunit ribosomal RNA
Source: RNAcentral